RNAcentral lists this ribosomal RNA (786 nucleotides) under uncultured Enterobacter sp. RNAcentral's name for it is "bacterial SSU rRNA". It matches the Rfam family "Bacterial small subunit ribosomal RNA", at positions 786 to 1533 of the family's 1533-position model. The record is from RNAcentral. Lineage: Bacteria; Pseudomonadati; Pseudomonadota; Gammaproteobacteria; Enterobacterales; Enterobacteriaceae.
CCUGGUAGUCCACGCCGUAAACGAUGUCGACUUGGAGGUUGUGCCCUUGAGGCGUGGCUUCCGGAGCUAACGCGUUAAGUCGACCGCCUGGGGAGUACGGCCGCAAGGUUAAAACUCAAAUGAAUUGACGGGGGCCCGCACAAGCGGUGGAGCAUGUGGUUUAAUUCGAUGCAACGCGAAGAACCUUACCUACUCUUGACAUCCAGAGAACUUUCCAGAGAUGGGAUUGGUGCCUUCGGGAACUCUGAGACAGGUGCUGCAUGGCUGUCGUCAGCUCGUGUUGUGAAAUGUUGGGUUAAGUCCCGCAACGAGCGCAACCCUUAUCCUUUGUUGCCAGCGGUCCGGCCGGGAACUCAAAGGAGACUGCCAGUGAUAAACUGGAGGAAGGUGGGGAUGACGUCAAGUCAUCAUGGCCCUUACGAGUAGGGCUACACACGUGCUACAAUGGCGCAUACAAAGAGAAGCGACCUCGCGAGAGCAAGCGGACCUCAUAAAGUGCGUCGUAGUCCGGAUUGGAGUCUGCAACUCGACUCCAUGAAGUCGGAAUCGCUAGUAAUCGUAGAUCAGAAUGCUACGGUGAAUACGUUCCCGGGCCUUGUACACACCGCCCGUCACACCAUGGGAGUGGGUUGCAAAAGAAGCAGGUAGCUUAACCUUCGGGAGGGCGCUUACCACUUUGUGAUUCAUGACUGGGGUGAAGUCGUAACAAGGUAACCGUAGGGGAACCUGCGGAUAGGACACUUCUUUACGCUUGGAUCCCCGGAACUUAUUCUCUUUUUUAUCGUU